Molecule: transfer RNA, 75 nt
Filed under: Rhamnusium bicolor
Lineage: Eukaryota; Metazoa; Arthropoda; Insecta; Coleoptera; Cerambycidae
Description: tRNA-OTHER
Source: RNAcentral
GGCUUCGUGGUCGAGCGGUAAGAACACUUGCCUCUCAUCUUGGAGUACUGGGUUCGAUUUCCGGUCGAGGAGCUA